RNAcentral lists this non-coding RNA (30 nucleotides) under Mus musculus (house mouse). Lineage: Eukaryota; Metazoa; Chordata; Mammalia; Rodentia; Muridae. The record is from RNAcentral.
GUCCUUGUAAACAGUUGUUGACAGAAGCCA